CGCGGUAAUUCCAGCUCCAAUAGCGUAUACUAAAGUGUUGCAGUUAAAAAGCUCGUAGUUGGAUUUCUGGCGGGGACGGCUGGUCGGUCUCGAAAGGGGCUGUACUGUUGUUGGUUCCCGUCAUCCUUGGGGAGAGCGGCUCUUACAUUAAGUUGUCGGCGUCGGGAUCCCUAUCUUUUACUGUGAAAAAAUUAGAGUGUUCAAAGCAGGCUUAGGCCCUGAAUACAUUAGCAUGGAAUAAUAAGAUACGACCUUGGUGGUCUAUUUUGUUGGUUUGCACGCCAAGGUAAUGAUUAAUAGGGAUAGUUGGGGGUAUUCGUAUUCAAUUGUCAGAGGUGAAAUUCUUGGAUUUAUGGAAGACGAACUACUGCGAAAGCAUUUACCAAGGAUGUUUUCAUUAAUCAAGAACGAAAGUUAGGGGAUCGAAGAUGAUUAGAUACCAUCGUAGUCUUAACCAUAAACUAUGCCGACUAGGGAUCGGUGGGUGCAUUUUUAGGCCUCAUCGGCACCUUAUGAGAAAUCAAAGUCUUUGGGUUCCGGGGGGAGUAUGGUCGCAAGGCUGAAACUUAAAGAAAUUGACGG
RNAcentral lists this ribosomal RNA (582 nucleotides) under Nannochloropsis sp. MNUFRJ01. Its description in RNAcentral is "SSU rRNA". It matches the Rfam family "Eukaryotic small subunit ribosomal RNA", at positions 575 to 1159 of the family's 1831-position model. Lineage: Eukaryota; Eustigmatophyceae; Eustigmatales; Monodopsidaceae. The record is from RNAcentral. RNAcentral also lists the same sequence under 1 other name.